CGAGCUCGACCCACCAGUCUCCCCUCUACUGCACCGCCCACCCCGAGACAUCGGUGCCUUCCAGCCAAACCCUAGCCACAUGCUGCAGGGGGCGGAGAGCCAGAGACAGGGACGCACCUCCCCGAAGUAACUGGCAACGGGACCAACGAGGAACCACACGUCGAUGGUUUUUUCUGUUCCUAGCUGAACCUUGGUGAUACUUGUAGCAUUUUCUGAAUAUUUCUGAACAUAGCUGAACCUGGAUGAUAUUUUUAGCAUCGUCUUGCAUAUUUCUGAAUAUUUCUUAACCUAGCUGAUUAUUUCUGAUUUUUUUUUUCAGUUCAUAGCUGAACCUAGCUGAAUUACGAACCAACUUGUAGAUCUGUACUUUUCAAUCUAGCUGAACCUAGCUAAACAUGUAACCAACUUGUAGCAUUAUCUGUACUUAGUUCUGAAUCUAGCUGAACCUAGCAUGCGUAAUUCUGAAUCUAGUUAACCUUUCUGACCAUUGCAUUCUUGUGCAGAGGACUUUAUAUGUUGAUGGGAGAAUGGACAAACUCUCGGCCCACUAUGGAUGCCUCACCCACCAUGAGGCCAGCACCUGCUGCCAAGAAGAUUUGUCACUAGUGCAAGGAAGCUAACACCUAAGAAGCUGAAGACCCACUGAAGAUUUGAAAAUUGUAGAAUUUGAACUUGACUAGCGAUGUAUUUGUGGAGGACAAACAUAAGGAUAAUUUCUACUAAGGGCUGAGACUGAGAGCCUAUAUAUCACUGAGAUGGAGAGAGGAAGAAAAAGCACGUACUGUUCAUUAAUUGAAAUUUUCUUUGCGUAGCGCCGUUGUGUUUCAAAUAGAAAAGCACUGGUAUAUGUUAAAAUGUUGUUUUUCUUAGGGAAAGCUCUAUCUGGUCAACCUGGCGAAGCAUUUAGGCAUAUGGUCCCCAGGGGAAGGAGAAAAAUUCGUAAGUAAACAACAAUGCAAC
This 960-nucleotide long non-coding RNA is filed under the name Oryza brachyantha (malo sina). RNAcentral's name for it is "long non-coding RNA (OBRA_LNC001547)". Lineage: Eukaryota; Viridiplantae; Streptophyta; Magnoliopsida; Poales; Poaceae. The record is from RNAcentral.